This 72-nucleotide transfer RNA is filed under the name Ameiurus melas (black bullhead). It matches the Rfam family "tRNA". Rfam says of the family: Transfer RNA (tRNA) molecules are approximately 80 nucleotides in length. Their secondary structure includes four short double-helical elements and three loops (D, anti-codon, and T loops). Lineage: Eukaryota; Metazoa; Chordata; Actinopteri; Siluriformes; Ictaluridae. The record is from Rfam by way of RNAcentral.
GCCGUGAUCGUAUAGUGGUUAGUACUCGUGCGUUGGGCCCCAGCAACUCCGGUUCGAAUCCGGGUCACGGCA